RNAcentral lists this ribosomal RNA (633 nucleotides) under Triticum aestivum (bread wheat). Its description in RNAcentral is "partial small subunit ribosomal RNA". The record is from RNAcentral. Lineage: Eukaryota; Viridiplantae; Streptophyta; Magnoliopsida; Poales; Poaceae.
AUGCCUCCGAGAAAUAGGAAGUAUGCAUCAGGUAGCAAAAAAAGGAAAAAGAAGAAGGCCGCAGAUAAAUUGGUACAAUCACAACAUGGACAUGUGCACAGAUAUUUCAAGCGUACUUCCACUACUUCGAUAAACCGAGGUGAUGAGUUGGCGAUAGUUGCCAUAGAGGAAGAGCAACAGAAUAAUGUGAAUUCAGAAUCCGAUCAGCAAGAAGAAAAUGCCGACACCAAUAUCGACGACAACAAUGUAAGUGGCUCCGAGAAUAUAGGUAAUUCAUCGGAUGCACAAGAACAGUCUCCUAGUGUUGAUGAACCAGUCUAUACUCCUGAUAUUUAUGAUCCAAGAAAUUGGGAUAAUCUUGACAAUAAAGCAAGAGAUGUAUUAGUUGAGAAAGGGCCAAUGAGAGAGGAAGAGGAUAAAAUGGAAUACCGUGUAGAUGAUGCAGGAAGACAUUUUUCCUAUGUUCAUUAUCAUAGGAAAUUAAGCAACGGAGAGAAACAUGAUAGAAAAUGGCUAGUUUAUUCAGAAGGUGUUGACAAAGUUUUUUGCUUUUGUUGUAAGAUCUUCAAGUCUAGCAGUAGCAGGAGUCAGAGUUCCUUAGCACAUGAUGGAUUAGAUCAUUGGUUCAUCUGA